RNAcentral lists this ribosomal RNA (253 nucleotides) under uncultured bacterium. RNAcentral's name for it is "partial 16S ribosomal RNA". It matches the Rfam family "Bacterial small subunit ribosomal RNA", at positions 524 to 776 of the family's 1533-position model. The record is from RNAcentral.
UACGAAGGGGGCUAGCGUUGCUCGGAAUCACUGGGCGUAAAGCGCACGUAGGCGGAUCUUUAAGUCAGGGGUGAAAUCCCGGAGCUCAACUUCGGAAUUGCCUUUGAUACUGUCUGUCUUGAGUCCGGGAGAGGUGAGUGGAAUUCCUAGUGUAGAGGUGAAAUUCGUAGAUAUUAGGAAGAACACCAGUGGCGAAGGCGGCUCACUGGCCCGGUACUGACGCUCAUGUGCGAAAGCGUGGGGAGCAAACAGG